GAGUGCGCGGACAGACCGGGAGCCCGGCUCCAGGGGUCACAGCGGUGGCGGGACCCAUCACACACAGGGUUAAAGGUGCAGCCGCGUGCGUCAGCUGAUACGCAGCGCCGCGUAAGGAGCGCGCGGGCGGGGGGAGGCUGGUCCUGCGGAGCCGGAGCGUCCAGCAGCUUCCUGCAUCUGCCGACACACCGCCGGGGCUCAUCCCGAUCAUGUGCCUCCCUGCCGGGCAGUUCGCGACUCAGCUGAAGGAAGUCGGCCUGGUUUCCUUCCCCGCUGCGUUCACGGUCGCAUCCGGAGCUCCACUUCCCCCCUCCGCUCCUGCGUUCUAGCUCUGCUCUGCGGGGCCCGGGAGCCCGGACGAACGAGGCUUUAGUCAACCCGGAGAGCUGCAGCCAGCCGUCUCUGAGGCGGGUCAUGGAGGAGCGGGAGAAGGAGGCUUCACCGGUGGACACGUCCGCGCCUCUGCCGACGCUGAGCCCCGCCGUUCCGGCUUACGUGAAGCUGGGCCUGACGGUGGUCUACACCGUCUUCUACUCCCUCCUCUUCAUCUUCAUCUACGUGCAGCUCUGGCUGGUCCUGCGGUACCGACACAAGCGCUUCAGCUACCAGACCGUCUUCCUGUUCCUGUGCCUGCUGUGGUCCGCGCUGCGCACCGUCCUCUUCUCCUUCUACUUCAAGAACUUCGUGACGGCCAACACUCUGACGCCGUUCCCCUUCUGGCUGCUCUACUGCUUCCCCGUCUGCCUGCAGUUCUUCACGCUCAGCCUCAUGAACCUUUACUUUGCUCAGGUUGUUUUUAAAGCCAAGUCGAAAUAUUCUCCUGAGCUUUUGAAGUACAGGCUGCUGCUGUACGUGGUCUUCCUGUUCAUCAGCCUGCUCUUCCUGGUGGUGAACUUGGUCUGCGCUCUACUGGUGAGGAUGUCCUUCGCAGAGGCCCGCACCGUCGUGUUGGUGAGGGUGGCCAUCAACGACAGCCUUUUCGUCCUGUGCGCCAUCUCGCUCGCGCUAUGCCUCUACAAGAUUGCCAAGAUGUCGCUGGCUAACAUCUACCUGGAGUCCAAGGGGACGUCCGUUUGCCAGGUGACGGUCAUUGGCGCCAUCGUCAUCCUCCUGUAUGCAUCCAGAGCCUGUUAUAACCUGGUGGUGUUGGGACUCUCCAACAAGAACAUCAACUCCUUUGAUUUUGACUGGUACAACGUGUCCGACCAGGCAGAUUUACAGUGGACUUUGGGAGACAAAGGCUACAUCAUCUUUGGGGUGAUUCUGUUUGUGUGGGAGCUGUUCCCCACGUCGCUCGUCGUCUUUUUCUUCAGGGUUCGGAAGCCCAACCUGGACAGGCUCUGGUCUUCCUGGUCACGUCUUUUCCUCCCGGGCUUAUUUCUUUGACAACCCCCGGCGUUACGACAGCGACGACGACCUGGCGUGGAGCGUCAUGCCUCAGAACAUCCAGGCGAGCCUGGCAGCUGACAGCUACGAGUGGGGGAGUCAAAGCAGCGGAAUCGGUGCUUACAUCGGUGGUGACGACAGUUACACCUUCACUCCUCCUCCUCCUCCUCCCGAGGAGCUGAGCCACUACUGAAUGGACUCCUCCCGAUCCUCCUCUGUGGGAUUUUGCACAGUUUGUUACUGAAAAGGCACAUGUGGUUGAAAAUGGUCUCGAACUUUUAGAAGAUUUGCCAGUAGAAAACUCCCCAGAAAUAAUGGGACCAUAAUGUUGCACACUCCUGUCUUAAACUUCUUUUACUGUAUAGUUCAUAUUGAAUACAACUUAAUAUAUUUUCUCAGUCUAUGCAAAUGUACUGUAUAACUAUUUUAUUAACUGUUGAUCAAAAUGUUUUCUGUGUUGAUAGUAAAAAGUUCUUUUAUUAAAAUGAAAAGUUUAAAUUCUGUCAGAAAUUUUAAAAUUAUAUUUGAAUAAAUUAACUUCAUCUGAGGGUUUUAAA
This is an RNA transcript of Oryzias melastigma (Indian medaka), 1943 nucleotides long. It is a transcript of the gene named G protein-coupled receptor 137Ba, with no coding region annotated. The transcript has 7 exons. The record is from RefSeq and is a predicted model, not a curated record. NCBI's taxonomy places the organism in Eukaryota, Metazoa, Chordata, Actinopteri, Beloniformes, Adrianichthyidae.